UGUGUAGGCGGUUGCUUAAGUUUGGUGUGAAAUCUCCCGGCUCAACUGGGAGGGUGCGCCGAAUACUGAGUGACUAGAGUGCGGGAGAGGAAAGUGGAACUCCUGGUGUAGCGGUGAAAUGCGUAGAUAUCAGGAGGAACACCGGUGGUGUAGACGGCUUUCUGGACCGUAACUGACGCUGAGACACGAAAGCGUGGGUAGCAAACAGGAUUAGAUACCCUGGUAGUCCACGCCCUAAACGAUGCAUAUUUGGUGUGGGCAGUUCAUUCUGUCCGUGCCGGAGCUAACGCGUUAAAUAUGCCGCCUGGGGAGUACAGUCGCAAGGCUGAA
Molecule: ribosomal RNA, 330 nt
Filed under: uncultured bacterium
Lineage: Bacteria
Description: bacterial SSU rRNA
Rfam family: Bacterial small subunit ribosomal RNA
Source: RNAcentral